GUGUCAGCCGCCGCGGUAAUACGAAGGGGGCUAGCGUUGUUCGGAAUUACUGGGCGUAAAGCGUGCGCAGGCGGCUUCUCAAGUCAGUGGUGAAAGCCCGGAGCUCAACUCCGGAAUUGCCAUUGAAACUGUGGAGCUUGAGGACGAGAGAGGUGAGUGGAAUUCCCAGUGUAGAGGUGAAAUUCGUAGAUAUUGGGAAGAACACCGGUGGCGAAGGCGGCUCACUGGCUCGUUUCUGACGCUCAGGCACGAUAGCGUGGGGAUCAAACAGGAUUAGAUACCCUGGUAGUCC
This 292-nucleotide ribosomal RNA is filed under the name uncultured bacterium. RNAcentral describes it as "partial 16S ribosomal RNA". It matches the Rfam family "Bacterial small subunit ribosomal RNA", at positions 505 to 796 of the family's 1533-position model. The record is from RNAcentral.